Molecule: ribosomal RNA, 253 nt
Filed under: uncultured bacterium
Lineage: Bacteria
Description: partial 16S ribosomal RNA
Rfam family: Bacterial small subunit ribosomal RNA
Source: RNAcentral
UACGGGGGGGGCAAGCGUUGUCCGGAAUUACUGGGCGUAAAGGGCUCGUAGGCGGCCAACUAAGUCAGACGUGAAAUCCCUCGGCUUAACCGGGGAACUGCGUCUGAUACUGGAUGGCUUGAGUUUGGGAGAGGGAUGCGGAAUUCCAGGUGUAGCGGUGAAAUGCGUAGAUAUCUGGAGGAACACCGGUGGCGAAGGCGGGUCUCUGGGCAGUAACUGACGCUGAGGAGCGAAAGCGUGGGGAGCGAACAGG